This 1355-nucleotide ribosomal RNA is filed under the name uncultured bacterium. Its description in RNAcentral is "bacterial SSU rRNA". It matches the Rfam family "Bacterial small subunit ribosomal RNA", at positions 28 to 1381 of the family's 1533-position model. The record is from RNAcentral.
GAUGAACGCUAGCGACAGGCUUAACACAUGCAAGUCGAGGGGCAGCACAGGUAGCAAUACCGGGUGGCGACCGGCGCACGGGUGAGUAACGCGUAUGCAACUUACCUAUCAGAGGGGGAUAACCCGGCGAAAGUCGGACUAAUACCGCAUGAAGCAGGGGCCCCGCAUGGGGAUAUUUGCUAAAGAUUCAUCGCUGAUAGAUAGGCAUGCGUUCCAUUAGGCAGUUGGCGGGGUAACGGCCCACCAAACCGACGAUGGAUAGGGGUUCUGAGAGGAAGGUCCCCCACAUUGGUACUGAGACACGGACCAAACUCCUACGGGAGGCAGCAGUGAGGAAUAUUGGUCAAUGGGCGUAAGCCUGAACCAGCCAAGUCGCGUGAGGGAUGAAGGUUCUAUGGAUCGUAAACCUCUUUUAUAAGGGAAUAAAGUGCGGGACGUGUCCCGUUUUGUAUGUACCUUAUGAAUAAGGAUCGGCUAACUCCGUGCCAGCAGCCGCGGUAAUACGGAGGAUCCGAGCGUUAUCCGGAUUUAUUGGGUUUAAAGGGUGCGUAGGCGGCCUUUUAAGUCAGCGGUGAAAGUCUGUGGCUCAACCAUAGAAUUGCCGUUGAAACUGGGAGGCUUGAGUAUGUUUGAGGCAGGCGGAAUGCGUGGUGUAGCGGUGAAAUGCUUAGAUAUCACGCAGAACCCCGAUUGCGAAGGCAGCCUGCCAAGCCAUGACUGACGCUGAUGCACGAAAGCGUGGGGAUCAAACAGGAUUAGAUACCCUGGUAGUCCACGCAGUAAACGAUGAUCACUAGCUGUUUGCGAUACACAGUAAGCGGCACAGCGAAAGCGUUAAGUGAUCCACCUGGGGAGUACGCCGGCAACGGUGAAACUCAAAGGAAUUGACGGGGGCCCGCACAAGCGGAGGAACAUGUGGUUUAAUUCGAUGAUACGCGAGGAACCUUACCCGGGUUUGAACGCAUUCGGACCGAGGUGGAAACACCUUUUCUAGCAAUAGCCGUUUGCGAGGUGCUGCAUGGUUGUCGUCAGCUCGUGCCGUGAGGUGUCGGCUUAAGUGCCAUAACGAGCGCAACCCUUGCCACUAGUUACUAACAGGUGAUGCUGAGGACUCUGGUGGGACUGCCAGCGUAAGCUGCGAGGAAGGCGGGGAUGACGUCAAAUCAGCACGGCCCUUACAUCCGGGGCGACACACGUGUUACAAUGGCGUGGACAAAGGGAAGCCACCUGGCGACAGGGAGCGAAUCCCCAAACCACGUCUCAGUUCGGAUCGGAGUCUGCAACCCGACUCCGUGAAGCUGGAUUCGCUAGUAAUCGCGCAUCAGCCAUGGCGCGGUGAAUACGUUCCCGGGCCU